AGUGCCGCGCCGGGAUUUAUGAGCGGGAUUCGUUGAUGUCGUCUUAUACGGGGGUACUAAAAUUCCCCCCGGCACGA
RNAcentral lists this transfer RNA (77 nucleotides) under Granata lyrata. RNAcentral describes it as "tRNA-Ile". The record is from RNAcentral. Lineage: Eukaryota; Metazoa; Mollusca; Gastropoda; Seguenziida; Chilodontidae.